This 460-nucleotide ribosomal RNA is filed under the name uncultured bacterium. RNAcentral's name for it is "partial 16S ribosomal RNA". It matches the Rfam family "Bacterial small subunit ribosomal RNA", at positions 338 to 795 of the family's 1533-position model. The record is from RNAcentral.
CCUACGGGUGGCAGCAGUGAGGAAUAUUGGUCAAUGGACGAGAGUCUGAACCAGCCAAGUAGCGUGAAGGAUGACUGCCCUAUGGGUUGUAAACUUCUUUUAUAUGGGAAUAAAACGUUCCACGUGUGGGAUUUUGUAUGUACCAUCUGAAUAAGGAUCGGCUAACUCCGUGCCAGCAGCCGCGGUAAUACGGAGGAUCCGAGCGUUAUCCGGAUUUAUUGGGUUUAACGGGAGCGUAGGUGGAUUGUUAAGUCAGUUGUGAAAGUUUGCGGCUCAACCGUAAAAUUGCAGUUGAAACUGGCAGUCUUGAGUACAGUAGAGGUGGGCGGAAUUCGUGGUGUAGCGGUGAAAUGCUUAGAUAUCACGAAGAACUCCGAUUGCGAAGGCAGUUCACUGGACUGCAACUGACACUGAGGCUCGAAAGUGUGGGUAUCAAACAGGAUUAGAUACCCUUGUAGUC